Molecule: ribosomal RNA, 253 nt
Filed under: uncultured bacterium
Lineage: Bacteria
Description: partial 16S ribosomal RNA
Rfam family: Bacterial small subunit ribosomal RNA
Source: RNAcentral
GACAGAGGUCCCAAGCGUUAGGCGGAAUCACUGGGCUUAAAGCGUGUGUAGGCGGACUUCUAAGUGCCUUGUGAAAUCCCACGGCUCAACCGUGGAACUGCUGGGCAUACUGGGAGUCUUGGGCCAUUCAGGGGCAACUGGAACAAGCGGUGGAGCGGUGAAAUGCGUAGAUAUCGCUUGGAACGCCGAAGGUGAAAACAGGUUGCUGGGGAUGUGCCGACGCUGAGACACGAAAGCCAGGGGAGCAAACGGG